RNAcentral lists this unclassified non-coding RNA (98 nucleotides) under Mus musculus (house mouse). Its description in RNAcentral is "partial probably derived from hnRNA or mRNA fragment, protein coding region". The record is from RNAcentral. Lineage: Eukaryota; Metazoa; Chordata; Mammalia; Rodentia; Muridae.
UGGGGUUCUGAACUACCCAAAACGUGCCUGCCAGUUCAACCGGACCCAACUGGGCGAUUGCUCUGGCAUUGGGGACCCUACCCACUAUGGUUACAGCA